CGCGUAGGCGGUCGACCAAGUCAGGGGUGAAAUCCUGCAGCUUAACUGUAGAAGUGCCUUUGAUACUGGUCGUCUCGAGGGAGGUAGGGGUGUGUGGAACUUCCAGUGGAGCGGUGAAAUGCGUUGAUAUUGGAAGGAACGCCGGAGGCGAAAGCGACGCACUGGACCUCUUCUGACGCUGAGGCGCGAAAGCUAGGGGAGCAAACGGGAUUAGAUACCCCGGUAGUCCUAGCCCUAAACGAUGGGUACUAGAUUGUAGACUGAUCAUGGGUUUACAGUCGAAGCAAAAGUGUUAAGUACCCCGCCUGGGGAGUAUGGUCGCAAGGCUGAA
Molecule: ribosomal RNA, 331 nt
Filed under: uncultured bacterium
Lineage: Bacteria
Description: bacterial SSU rRNA
Rfam family: Bacterial small subunit ribosomal RNA
Source: RNAcentral